UAGGGAAUCUUCGGCAAUGGACGAAAGUCUGACCGAGCAACGCCGCGUGAGUGAAGAAGGUUUUCGGAUCGUAAAACUCUGUUGUUAGAGAAGAACAAGGACGUUAGUAACUGAACGUCCCCUGACGGUAUCUAACCAGAAAGCCACGGCUAACUACGUGCCAGCAGCCGCGGUAAUACGUAGGUGGCAAGCGUUGUCCGGAUUUAUUGGGCGUAAAGCGAGCGCAGGCGGUUUCUUAAGUCUGAUGUGAAAGCCCCCGGCUCAACCGGGGAGGGUCAUUGGAAACUGGGAGACUUGAUUGCAGAAGAGGAGAGUGGAUUUCCAUGUGUAGCAGUGAAAUGCGUAGAUAUAUGGAGGAACACCAGUGGCGAAGUCGGCUCUCUGGUCUGUCACUGACGCUGAGGCUCGAAAGCGUGGGGAGCAAACAGG
RNAcentral lists this ribosomal RNA (429 nucleotides) under Gemmatimonadota bacterium. RNAcentral's name for it is "Gemmatimonadetes bacterium partial 16S ribosomal RNA". It matches the Rfam family "Bacterial small subunit ribosomal RNA", at positions 355 to 776 of the family's 1533-position model. Lineage: Bacteria; Pseudomonadati; Gemmatimonadota. The record is from RNAcentral.